GGGCCGGGCUACCUGGGGCGUGACGCCGCCGUCCUGUCCCUGCAAGGCCUGGCCCGAUCCCGCGGGGCGACCCGGAAGGGCUGGACCCGCCAGCGACUCUCGCUAGGAUAGAAAAACUCGCUGUCCGGCCGGCCUUUCGCGCGGGCUCCUGCAGCCAGGAUGGGCCGGAAGGUGACCGUGGCCACCUGCGCGCUCAACCAGUGGGCCCUGGACUUCGAGGGCAAUUUGCAAAGGAUUUUAAAGAGUAUUGAAAUUGCGAAACACAAAGGAGCAAAAUACAGGCUUGGACCGGAGCUGGAAAUAUGCGGCUACGGAUGCUGGGACCAUUAUUAUGAGUCGGACACCCUCCUGCAUUCGCUCCAGGUCCUGGCUGCCCUUUUGGAAUCUCCGGUCACUCAGGAUAUCAUCUGUGACGUGGGAAUGCCCGUGAUGCACCGCAAUGUCCGGUACAACUGCAGGGUGAUAUUCCUCAACAGGAAGAUCCUGCUCAUUAGACCCAAGAUGGCCUUGGCCAAUGAGGGCAACUACCGGGAGCUGCGCUGGUUUACCCCGUGGUCCAGGAGUCGGCAAACAGAGGAGUAUUUUCUCCCCCGGAUGAUUCAGGACCUGACGAAGCAGGAAACCGUGCCCUUUGGGGACGCCGUGCUCUCCACCCGGGACACCUGCAUCGGGAGUGAGGUCUGCGAGGAACUCUGGACGCCCCACAGCCCGCACGUGGACAUGGGCCUGGACGGUGUGGAGAUCUUCACCAACGCCUCGGGCAGCCACCACGUGCUGCGCAAAGCCCACGCCAGGGUGGACCUCGUGACCAUGGCCACCACCAAGAACGGCGGGAUUUACCUGCUGGCCAAUCAGAAGGGCUGCGACGGGGACCGGCUCUACUACGACGGCUGCGCCCUGAUAGCCAUGAACGGCAGCAUCUUCGCCCAAGGCUCGCAGUUCUCUCUGGACGACGUGGAAGUCCUCACGGCCACGCUGGAUUUGGAGGACGUCAGAAGCUACAGGGCGGAGAUUUCCUCUCGAAAUCUGGCGGCCAGCAGGGUGAGCCCCUACCCCCGCGUGAAGGUGGACUUCGCCCUCUCCUCCCGAGAGGACUUGCUGGAGCCGCUGUCUGAGCCCAUCGAGUGGAAAUACCACAGUCCCGCCGAGGAGAUCAGGUGGGGCCCUGGCAGUGCGGUGGGUGGGGGGGUCGGGGGAAGGGUCCUGGGGUUCCCGAGGCUCCCCGUCCAUCCCCUGCUGCAGCACCGAGAGGCAGGUCGCCCUUGGACGGGACGAUGCUGCUUCGGGAUGCAGCAGCCAGCCCGCCGGGCCCAUGCCCAGCUCUGCUACUUCCUUGCCCUGCGCCCAUGGACACAAAGACGCCGUCCUUGCCUUUCUGUGCCCCCCUUCAAAACAGGGCCAGUGAUAGUGUCCACUGCCCAGGGCCAUUUUGAGACCUCAAAUGCGUUAAUUCACAUGAAAUGCCUAAAGCCGAGACUGGGGCAUCUGACAGCCCAGCCACUGCUUGCUGGCACUGCCUCCGCCUUGGCACCUGUCCCCAGGUGGGCUGCCAGGUCAGCCUCUCCCAGCCUGAUGCCUGCCAUUGUUCCCCAGCCUCGGACCUGCGUGCUGGCUCUGGGAUUUUUUAAGACGCAGCCAACAGGCGGGGUUCUUCCUGUCACUGAGCGGCGGGGUGGACAGUGCGGCCACCGCCUGCCUCGUCUACUCUAUGUGCCACCAGGUCUGCGAGGCUGUGAAGCAUGGAAAUCAGGAGGUGCUGGCAGACAUCCGGAGCAUCGUGCACCAGACCGGCUACACCCCCCGGGACCCCCGCGAGCUCUGCGGCCGCCUCCUGACCACCUGCUACAUGGCCAGCGAGAACUCCUCCCGGGGCACCUGCGACAGGGCCAGGGAGCUGGCCCAGCAGAUCGGAAGCCACCACAUCGGGCUCAGCAUCGACCCAGCGGUCAAGGCGGUGAUGGGCAUCUUCAGCCUGGUGACAGGUCGCAGCCCGGCGUUCGCGGUUCACGGGGGGAGCAGCAGGGAGAACCUGGCGCUGCAGAACGUGCAGGCACGCGUGAGGAUGGUCGUGGCUUACCUCUUUGCCCAGCUCAGCCUCUGGUCUCGGGGCGCUCCAGGCGGACUUCUCGUGCUCGGAUCUGCCAACGUGGACGAGAGCCUCCUCGGCUACCUGACCAAGUACGACUGCUCCAGCGCCGACAUCAACCCCAUAGGCGGGAUCAGCAAGACCGACCUGAGAGCCUUCGUCCAGCUCUGCAGGGAGCGCUUCCAGCUGCCCGCCCUGCAGAGCAUCUUGGAAGCACCGGCCACCGCCGAGCUGGAGCCCUUGGCCGAUGGACAGGUGUCCCAGACCGAUGAGGAGGACAUGGGGGUGACGUACUCGGAGCUGUCCGUCUACGGGAGGCUCCGGAAGGUCGCCAAGACCGGGCCCUACAGCAUGUUCUGCAGACUCCUGGUCCUGUGGAAGGACACCUGCAGCCCCCGGCAGGUGGCUGACAAAGUGAAGCGGUUUUUCUCGAAGUAUUCCGCAAACAGACACAAAAUGACCACGCUGACCCCUGCGUACCACGCUGAGAGCUACAGCCCAGACGACAACAGGUUCGAUCUUCGGCCGUUUCUGUACAACACCCGCUGGCCUUGGCAGUUCCGCUGCAUAGAAAACCAGGUCCUGCAGCUGGAGCGGGGACAGCAGCAGGAUCUGGACGGCGUGGACUGAGGGCGCCCCUCCCCCAAGGAUGCACCUGCCACUUCGGCCUCGCUGGUGACCAGGAGCCGGAGCGGCCGGCGUCGCGGCGAGCCUUUGCUGCUGCAUUUCGAGGAGAAGGGUCUUUUCAGUCCAGAUCCCUAAACAAAGCUCGAAAUAAAGGACGUGAUUGGA
Molecule: non-coding RNA, 2878 nt
Organism: Sus scrofa (pig)
Lineage: Eukaryota; Metazoa; Chordata; Mammalia; Artiodactyla; Suidae
Source: RefSeq, a predicted model, not a curated record